This 252-nucleotide ribosomal RNA is filed under the name uncultured bacterium. Its description in RNAcentral is "partial 16S ribosomal RNA". It matches the Rfam family "Bacterial small subunit ribosomal RNA", at positions 524 to 775 of the family's 1533-position model. The record is from RNAcentral.
UACAGAGGGUGCGAGCGUUGUCCGGAAUCACUGGGCGUAAAGGGCGCGUAGGUGGCCCGACAAGUCUGUGGUGAAAGCUCGACGCUCAACGUCGAGUCGGCCAUAGAUACUGUUGGGCUGGAGCACUGUAGAGGCUCAUGGAAUUCCGGGUGUAGCGGUGGAAUGCGUAGAGAUCCGGAAGAACACCGGUGGCGAAGGCGGUGAGCUGGGCAGUAGCUGACACUGAGGCGCGACAGCGUGGGGAGCAACAGG